Molecule: ribosomal RNA, 757 nt
Filed under: Vittaforma corneae
Lineage: Eukaryota; Fungi; Microsporidia; Nosematidae
Description: SSU rRNA
Rfam family: Microsporidia small subunit ribosomal RNA
Source: RNAcentral
UGUAAAGAGGGAUAGGAGAAUUGGAGGGCAAGUUUGGUGCCAGCAGCCGCGGUAAUACCGACUCCAAGAGUGUGUAUGAGAGAUGCUGCAGUUAAAAAGUCCGUAGUCAUAGAAGGGCAAAGAGAGAUGCGAGGUCUCACAGUGCGAUGAUGGAGGAGCCGAUGGGGAACAUAGUAUACCAGGGCGAGAGAUGAAAUGCCAAGACCCCUGGUGGACUGAGCGAGGCGAAGGCGAUGUUCUUGUAGGCAUUCGGUGAUCAAGGACGAAGGCUGGAGUAUCGAAAGUGAUUAGAUACCGCAGUAGUUCCAGCAGUAAAAGAUGCCGACAUGCUCAUUGGACACAGUGGGCAGGGAGAAAUCUUAGAGUUCGGGCUCUGGGGAUAGUAUGCUCGCAAGGGUGAAAAUUAAAGAAAUUGACGGAGCUACACCACAAGGAGUGGAUUGUGCGGCUUAAUUUGACUCAACGCGAGGAAACUUACCAGGGCCAAGUAUUGUGUAGAAACGAGCAAUACAGGAGUGGUGCAUGGUCGUUGGAAAUUGAUGGGAUGACUUUGACCUUAAAUGGUUGAAUGAGUGAGAUCUUUUGGACAUGUUCCGCACGGAACAGGAAGGAAAAGGCUAUAACAGAUCCGAGAUGCCCUCAGAUGCCCUGGGCUGCACGCGCAAUACAAUAGCAGGUAGAGAUAGAGACAGGAAGGUGCUCAGAUGGACUAUGUGCUGUAAGGCACAUACGAAAGAGGAAUUCCUAGUAAGUGUGU